RNAcentral lists this ribosomal RNA (254 nucleotides) under uncultured bacterium. RNAcentral's name for it is "partial 16S ribosomal RNA". It matches the Rfam family "Bacterial small subunit ribosomal RNA", at positions 524 to 776 of the family's 1533-position model. The record is from RNAcentral.
CACGUAGGGUGCGAGCGUUGUCCGGAAUUAUUGGGCGUAAAGAGCUCGUAGGCGGUGUGUCGCGUCGGCCGUGAAAACCUGCAGCUUAACUGUGGGCUUGCGGUCGAUACGGGCAUCACUGGAGUUUGGCAGGGGAGACUGGAAUUCCUGGUGUAGCGGUGAAAUGCGCAGAUAUCAGGAGGAACACCGAUGGCGAAGGCAGGUCUCUGGGCCACUACUGACGCUGAGAAGCGAAAGCAUGGGGAGCGAACAGG